Molecule: long non-coding RNA, 505 nt
Filed under: Triticum aestivum (bread wheat)
Lineage: Eukaryota; Viridiplantae; Streptophyta; Magnoliopsida; Poales; Poaceae
Description: long non-coding RNA (TAES_LNC026302)
Source: RNAcentral
AAAAGGGCCCCGACCCAUUGUAAGCAAUGGUACAGAACUUCAUAUUAAUAGAGCUUGAGGUCAAAACCAGAGUAGCAACCAGUUGAAUUUCAACGGUACAUGGCAAUGACUGGCAACAAAGAGCAACAACAGUUUGAUGGUUUCAGCGCUGACUAAGAGUUUUCAAGGGCUCACACAACCACCAUCGGUCGACACCGAGACUGAAAUGUGUAAGUACACCAUAACCACACACCGAAAAACUCCGCCCUCAUCAUAGAGGCCCUAUUUGGUUCGGCUGUAGAUUUUUAAAAGCAGUUGUGAAAAAUUUGCUGUGGAAAAAUAGCUGUGAAAAAUCUGAUGUGAAAAAGAAGUAGGUUAUUUGACAAACCAGCUGAUACAAUCUUUUUAGAUUUUGGCCGCAACGGAAUCAGAUUUUGGAAAGCACGUCCUGGGCUGCUUCCGUUUUUGCUGGGUUCGUCCUUUGGUUCAAAUUCUGCUACGCGGCAGCGGAAUCCGUCGAUAAAAG